Molecule: ribosomal RNA, 497 nt
Filed under: uncultured bacterium
Lineage: Bacteria
Description: partial 16S ribosomal RNA
Rfam family: Bacterial small subunit ribosomal RNA
Source: RNAcentral
GAUGAACGCUGGCGGCGUGCCUAAUACAUGCAAGUCGAGCGAACAGACGAGGAGCUUGCUCCUCUGACGUUAGCGGCGGACGGGUGAGUAACACGUGGAUAACCUACCUAUAAGACUGGGAUAACUUCGGGAAACCGGAGCUAAUACCGGAUAAUAUAUUGAACCGCAUGGUUCAAUAGUGAAAGACGGUUUUGCUGUCACUUAUAGAUGGAUCCGCGCCGCAUUAGCUAGUUGGUAAGGUAACGGCUUACCAAGGCAACGAUGCGUAGCCGACCUGAGAGGGUGAUCGGCCACACUAGAACUGAGCCACGGUCCCGACUCCUACACGAGGCAGCAGUAGGCAAUCUCCCGCGAUGGGCGAAAGCCUGACGGAGCAACGCCGCGUGGGUGAUGAAGGUCUUCGGAUCGUAAAACUCUGUUACUAGGGACGAACAAAUGUGUAAGUAACUAUGCACGUCUUGACGGUACCUAAGCAGAAAGCCACGGCUAACUACGUG